Molecule: transfer RNA, 75 nt
Filed under: Streptomyces chilikensis
Lineage: Bacteria; Bacillati; Actinomycetota; Actinomycetes; Kitasatosporales; Streptomycetaceae
Also listed under: 1 other name
Description: tRNA-Cys
Rfam family: tRNA
About the family: Transfer RNA (tRNA) molecules are approximately 80 nucleotides in length. Their secondary structure includes four short double-helical elements and three loops (D, anti-codon, and T loops).
Source: RNAcentral
GACCGCGUGCCCGAGUGGCUCAGGGACUGGACUGCAAAUCCAGGCACGCGGGUUCGAAUCCCGCCGCGGUCUCCA